GACGAACGCUGGCGGCGUGCUUAACACAUGCAAGUCGAACGGAAAGGCCUGCUUUCCCUUGUGGAUUGCGGGUACUCGAGUGGCGAACGGGUGAGUAACACGUGAGUGAUCUGCCCCCAACUUGGGUAUAAGCCUGGGAAACUGGGUCUAAUUCCCGAUAGGACUGCAGGGUGGUGCCUGUGGUGGAAAACGAUUUUCUAGUGGUUGGGGAUGAGCUCGCGGCCUAUCAGCUUGUUGGUGGGGUAAUGGCCUACCAAGGCGGCGACGGGUAGCCGGCCUGAGAGGGUGGACGGCCACAUUGGGACUGAGAUACGGCCCAGACUCCGACGGGGGGCAGCAGUGGGGAAUAUUGCACAAUGGGCGGAAGCCUGAUGCAGCGACGCCGCGUGGGGGAUGACGGCCUUCGGGUUGUAAACUCCUUUCGACCGCGAGGAAGCCACCUGGUUGGAAGGGUGGUGACGGUAGUGGUAGAAGAAGCACCGGCUAACUACGUG
This 494-nucleotide ribosomal RNA is filed under the name uncultured bacterium. RNAcentral's name for it is "partial 16S ribosomal RNA". It matches the Rfam family "Bacterial small subunit ribosomal RNA", at positions 28 to 507 of the family's 1533-position model. The record is from RNAcentral.